RNAcentral lists this antisense RNA (169 nucleotides) under Vibrio gallaecicus. RNAcentral's name for it is "Vibrio RNA AS7". It matches the Rfam family "Vibrio RNA AS7". From Rfam's summary of the family: Identified by direct cloning an parallel sequencing experiments with 5S/tRNA depletion. Confirmed by Northern blot. The record is from RNAcentral. Lineage: Bacteria; Pseudomonadati; Pseudomonadota; Gammaproteobacteria; Vibrionales; Vibrionaceae.
GGUGUUUGCAGUAACAAUUUACUUCGGUCUUUGAUGUCACCACCAAUAUGGUAAGGAAGACCACAGUUAGCAAAUGAUACAAAUUCACCACGCUCGAACAUUAUAAUUUCAGCAUCUUCGCUUAGUCUUCUUGCUCUGGCUGCUGCUGAUGCUCCGCCGGCUACGCCAC